GAUGAACGCUGGCGGCGUGCCUAAUACAUGCAAGUCGAGCGAACGGACGAGAAGCUUGCUUCUCUGAUGUUAGCGGCGGACGGGUGAGUAACACGUGGAUAACCUACCUAUAAGACUGGGAUAACUUCGGGAAACCGGAGCUAAUACCGGAUGAUAUUUUGAACCGCAUGGUUCAAAAGUGAAAGACGGUCUUGCUGUCACUUAGAGAUGGAUCCGCGCUGCAUUAGCUAGUUGGUAAGGUAACGGCUUACCAAGGCAACGAUGCAUAGCCGACCUGAGAGGAUGAUCGGCCACACUGGAACUGAGACACGGUCCAGACUCCUACGGGAGGCAGCAGUAGGGAAUCUUCCGCAAUGGGCGCAAGCCUGACGGAGCCACACCGCGUGAGUGAUGAAGGUCUUCGGAUCGUAAAACUCUGUUAUUAGGGAAGAAAAUAUGUGUAAGUAACUGUGCACAUCUUGACGGUACCUAAUCAGAAAGCCACGGCUAACUACGUG
This 497-nucleotide ribosomal RNA is filed under the name uncultured bacterium. RNAcentral's name for it is "partial 16S ribosomal RNA". It matches the Rfam family "Bacterial small subunit ribosomal RNA", at positions 28 to 507 of the family's 1533-position model. The record is from RNAcentral.